GGAAUAACAAGUGCUCACGGGUUUUAAAAAAGGAAGCCCGGGCGGUUACGUGCAAGGAUGAUGCUCAACUGCACAGAGAGGCUAAGGCAGUACACAGUCAUUGAGCAGUCGGCUACCUCUUCAGCACCGUAGACUCCACGGUGCUGGUGUCAGGCUGUGGGGAUGUUUCUAAAGGUGGAGCCUCUGUUUGUAGAGCAUUUUUCCCAAAUGAGGAAAACUGGUCUGUGGAGGCACAUUAAUAACUUUGCAAACAUGGGCCCAUCAAAGUGCAUCAGAUGAGGACCCGCUGCCCUGGUGCCGGCCAGCCAAUCAGUGGAGACCACGCCCUGAAAGGACACACCUGGGAAGCUGCUGACUCUGCUAUAGAGAUCUUCCCCUGGGGCCUCCCUGAGAUCUCCACCCUAAGGCCUUA
Molecule: long non-coding RNA, 412 nt
Organism: Myotis davidii
Lineage: Eukaryota; Metazoa; Chordata; Mammalia; Chiroptera; Vespertilionidae
Exons: 3
Source: RefSeq, a predicted model, not a curated record